CUGUCACACACACACGAACACUAAACGAUCAAAUAUGGCUUCAGCUUCAUCAUCGGCCGCGAGGUUACUCAUCCGCGACGGGAAAUCAGUGGCGAGUUUACUCUUCCGUGGACGUGCAGCAGCCAAUCUCACGGAGAACACUGGACCGGCCAUUCGGUCUCUGCUUCUGUUAAACCAGACGGUGGUGCCUAGUCAAUACCCGGUUUUCUCUGAAACAUUUCCGGUUACGCAACCCGGUUUGGGUUCCUGCUUCGUUCAGGAGGAGGCUGUUUCGGAGAGAAGAGGGAAAAUGGAAACGGGUCAGGGAAAGCGUGUGGUGAACAACGGGGGCAGCUCUUCCUCGGAGGAGGAGGAGACAGAUUUGAUGAGGAAGAGUUUGAUGAUAUUGAUAUGGACGAUGAUGUAGAGUUUGACGAAGAAGAAGAUGAGGAGGACGAGCAGAUAGUGAAGAAGAAGAAGUAAAAAGACUCUCAGUUCUUUGCAAAAUGCUUUAUCCGUUGCUUUUUCGUGAGAUUAAUGUAUUAGACUUAGACAUAAUUAAAUGUUUCUUGAUGAAAUAAAGAUUUCCGUUUUAAAAUAACGA
Molecule: RNA transcript, 583 nt
Organism: Brassica napus (rape)
Lineage: Eukaryota; Viridiplantae; Streptophyta; Magnoliopsida; Brassicales; Brassicaceae
Exons: 1
Source: RefSeq, a predicted model, not a curated record